CUUUACUGGCCAACUGCUGUUAUGGUUAUGAUAUACUAUGGUGUUGUGUCACUAGACUUUGACCAGAUAUUAUUGCAUCCAAAGAUCAACUGAACCUAGAACAUAGAUACAGAGACAUUUGUCAUCAGGAAGGUUCUCUCUCAGCACAACGGAAAAUAUCUCAAUGACUUGACAUGUUCUGGUUGUGAAUUCAGGCUACAAGGGGUCAGUGCUCUAAAAUGAGUCUCUCUGGGGAGAGAGAGGAGGGGGGCCCUUCCUCUAAAAUGAGUCUCUCUAGGGGACAUGACACCAAAGCUAAGAGCCCAAUCAAGCAGGAGAGACCAGCCUCCCCUGUUCCCAGCUGUGUGUCCAUGAAGAGUGACUGGUCUAUGGAUCCUCCUAUAGAGUUUAGAAAGGGAGACUUUUCUACUGAACAAAGUCCAAUCCAGCAGGAGAGACCAGCCUCCCCUGUUCCCAGCUGUGUGUCCAUGAAGAGUGACUGGUCUAUGCGUCAUCCUAUAUCCUUUAGAAAGGGAGACUUUUCUACUGAACAAAGGUAAGAAGAACUCAUGGGUCCUGGUCAGUGAGGUAAACAACACUGUCUCUAGUAAUUUCUCCUCCCAUUUUCCCAUUUAUUGUUGUUGUUUUCAUAAUCCAUAGGCUCAUCCUUUUGUCCAUUUCCAUAGUCGUAAAACAAUAUUAAACAAACAACAACAUUCCCUCCCUGUGUGUGUGUGUGUGCACUCCCUGGAUGUGGAGAUGUAAACUCUAUCCAGAUUGCGUAGUCACUUUUACCCCUACCUACAUGUGGAUAUUACCUCAAUUAUAGUCUCAUUAUUACCUCAACUACCUGGUACCCUGCACAUU
Molecule: long non-coding RNA, 846 nt
Organism: Oncorhynchus gorbuscha (pink salmon)
Lineage: Eukaryota; Metazoa; Chordata; Actinopteri; Salmoniformes; Salmonidae
Exons: 4
Source: RefSeq, a predicted model, not a curated record